This 434-nucleotide ribosomal RNA is filed under the name uncultured Lachnospiraceae bacterium. RNAcentral's name for it is "partial 16S ribosomal RNA". It matches the Rfam family "Bacterial small subunit ribosomal RNA", at positions 341 to 792 of the family's 1533-position model. The record is from RNAcentral. Lineage: Bacteria; Bacillati; Bacillota; Clostridia; Lachnospirales; Lachnospiraceae.
ACGGAAGGCAGCAGUGGGGAAUAUUGGACAAUGGGGGCAACCCUGAUCCAGCGACGCCGCGUGAGUGAAGAAGUAUUUCGGUAUGUAAAGCUCUAUCAGCAGGGACGAUAAUGACGGUACCUGACUAAGAAGCUCCGGCUAAAUACGUGCCAGCAGCCGCGGUAAUACGUAUGGAGCAAGCGUUAUCCGGAUUUACUGGGUGUAAAGGGAGCGUAGACGGGACAGCAAGUCUGAUGUGAAAUGCGGGGGCUCAACCCCUGAACUGCAUUGGGAACUGUUGACCUUGAGUGCCGGAGAGGUAAGCGGAAUUCCUAGUGUAGCGGUGAAAUGCGUAGAUAUUAGGAGGAACACCAGUGGCGAAGGCGGCUUACUGGACGGUAACUGACGUUGAGACUCGAAAGCGUGGGGAGCAAACAGGAUUAGAUACCCUGGUA